ACUUCUUGAUUGGAAGAGGCGAUUUGCCAUGUCCUGAAGUACCAUGUGAAGAGUACAAAGGAAACUUACGAAAACGUAGAGAGAUUUGCAAUGCUAUGGUGGAUGGGUUUUGGCGACGCUGGAUGGAAUGUAUGCAUAAACUUUCACCACGACACAAAUGGCUGAAAUCCACUGAGAAUCUGAUUAAAGGAGACAUAGUGCUCGUCAUUGGUGAGGAGAAGAAACGCGGCCUUUGGAAAAUGGCUGAAGUCAUUAAACCCAGGGAAGGAUGAUCUUGUGAGAGUUGUGGACAUCAACUUUGCUGAUGGAACCAAUGCGAAGAAACCUGUCACCAAACUAAUCCUACUAAUGAAAAGCACAGAACGAUCAGACAUAUAGAGUUUGAGUAUGUCUGUACUGUGUAUGGGUGUACGCCGAACGCUGCCCAAAGAAAUCAAUAUGUGAAUUACUGUGUAAUGAUUACAGUACAUAAUUAUCGUUGUUUGUUGGACUUUGAGAUAUGUAUUCACACUCAUUUGGAUUACGUGAUUCGUUUUUGGACUUACUGAAAUCAUCAGUUUGCACUUCGUUGUGAUUAGUGUGGCACUUUGAUUACCAAUUAUACUAUUGUAAACCAAAUUGAGACAUUUUGUAUGAACAUUUUUAAACCUUUUUUGCAGUUUGAUGUUAUAUUUGUGACAUUCCGUCACUCUUUGGGGGAAUGGGAUAUCAUGACAUCAUGACAUGUUUGUUACGCCUGCGCGUAAUAAUUUACUAUGCCGCCACGCGCGAACUGGUUAUCGGUGGGAGACAACAACAUGAGAUGUUGUGACAGUCUAUACUAUUUUUUACCACUGGAUCUUCAUGUAUUAUUAUAUACUAUAUCAUUUAUCGAGAGCGGUUUCUGUACAGUACGUGCUGAUGACAUGUGAUGCGAUAGUGACAUGGCGAGGAUGAAGAGUGUAGAACACCACAGACUUAGUGUGUGUAUACAUACAUAAAAAAAGAAAGCUGGAUGUAUUGGUCCUAUGAUAUCCACCGCAAUUUAAACGGAGUAUCAAUUAAAGGCAUUGGCCCUAACAAUGCUCUACUGCAACCCUACAAAUGUCGCACGAUCUGCAAUAUCGUUGAACAUACCCCUGUAGACCUGGCCAAUAGAACACGUUCAAGAUCUUUUCCAUCAUCUUUCCUACUAUAAGAUGACCCGCCAUCGAGACGUCAUGGAUGGAACCACCAAUUUGAU
Anneissia japonica is the source of this 1222-nucleotide long non-coding RNA. RefSeq lists it as uncharacterized. The record is from RefSeq and is a predicted model, not a curated record. The transcript has 3 exons. NCBI's taxonomy places the organism in Eukaryota, Metazoa, Echinodermata, Crinoidea, Comatulida, Comatulidae.